Molecule: long non-coding RNA, 710 nt
Filed under: Homo sapiens (human)
Lineage: Eukaryota; Metazoa; Chordata; Mammalia; Primates; Hominidae
Description: HSALNT0046606
Source: RNAcentral
ACACUCCAGUGUGGCUUCCACUCCCCCACCUUAUGAGAACCUUAUUUUAAAUGCUUUUAACCUUUGUGACAUUCCUCAGCAGUGAUGGAUUGAGAGACGGCUACAGAUUUCUGGAGAAAAAUAAUACAAUGGGAUAUGCUUGUGUUCACACAACUCAUCAAGGCCACCCUCAAGAUUGCCUGGCUUAUUUUGUAACACCCUAAAAGGAUGAUUUCAGGUCUCCUAUAUUCUCCUCACAGGUCUCUGACCUUUCUCCAUCCUCUGCCAUUUCAGAGAAUGAUCCUCUAUCUCUAUCUGAUUUUGCCGAUAAAAUAGAAGCUUCAGAGAAACAUCUACCACUCUCAUGACUAAUUAUGCAUACCUACUCACACAGGCACUCAGAUUCACCCAUUUUCCUACUCUGAAAAUGGAGGAAGUAUCGCUCCUCCUGUCUUUCUUACUUUUCAACUUCUCAUCAACUUCAUGGCUGGAGAUUAUCUUCCCUUGCCUCCUACGCUGCAUCUCUCCUCUACUAGAUUCUAUCUCUUAGCACUUAAGUACGCCUUACUCAUUCCCUUAGAAAAAAAGAAAUAAAGUCCUUAGACCCCACAUUCUCCUAAGCUACUCUUCUAUGGCUUUUGUCCUCUUAACUCUUAUAAAGAAUUCUCUAUCUUCACUGUCUCUACCUUCAACUGACUCUUCAACCCAUCCAGUGUGCUUCUGCUACACCA